This 589-nucleotide ribosomal RNA is filed under the name uncultured bacterium. RNAcentral describes it as "partial 16S ribosomal RNA". It matches the Rfam family "Bacterial small subunit ribosomal RNA", at positions 355 to 1375 of the family's 1533-position model. The record is from RNAcentral.
UGGGGAAUUUUGGACAAUGGGCGAAAGCCUGAUCCAGCAAUGCCGCGUGUGUGAAGAAGGCCUUCGGGUUGUAAAGCACUUUUGUCCGGAAAGAAAUCCUUGGCUCUAAUACAGUCGGGGGAUGACGGUACCGGAAGAAUAAGCACCGGCUAACUACGUGCCAGCAGCCGCGGUAAUACGUAGGGUGCAAGCGUUAAUCGGAAUUCUGGGCGUAAAGCGUGCGCAGGCGGUUUGCUAAGACCGAUGUGAAAUCCCCGGGCUCAAACCUGGGGAACUGCAUUGGUGACUGGCAGGCUAGAGUAUGGCAGAGGGGGGUAGAAUUCCACGGUGUAGCAGUGAAAUGCGUAGAGAUGUGGAGGAAUACCGAUGGCGAAGGCAGCCCCCUGGGCCAAUACUGACGCUCAUGCACGAAAGCGUGGGGGAGCAAAACAGGAUUAGAUACCCUGGUAGUCCACGCCCUAAACGAUGUCAACUAGUUGUUGGGGAUUCAUUUCCUUAGUAACGUAGCUAACGCGUGAAGUUGACCGCCUGGGGAGUACGGUCGCAAGAUUAAAACUUAAAUGAAUUGACGGGGUCAUAGCUGUUUCCU